UAGGGAAUCUUCCGCAAUGGACGAAAGUCUGAUGGAGCAACGCCGCGUGAGUGAAGAAGGAUUUCGGUUCGUAAAACUCUGUUGUUAGGGAAGAAAAAAUGUAUAGUAACUAUAUACAAAAGAGACGGUACCUACCAGAAAGCCACGGCUAACUACGUGCCAGCAGCCGCGGUAAUACGUAGGUGGCAAGCGUUGUCCGGAAUUAUUGGGCGUAAAGCGCGCGCAGGUGGUUUAGAAAGUCUGAUGUGAAAGCCCACGGCUCAACCGUGGAGGGUCAUUGGAAACUAAUAAACUUGAGUGCAGGAGAGAAAAGUGGAAUUCCUAGUGUAGCGGUGAAAUGCGUAGAGAUUAGGAGGAACACCGGUGGCGAAAGCGGCUUUUUGGCCUGCAACUGACACUGAGGCGCGAAAGCGUGGGGAGCAAACAGG
This 428-nucleotide ribosomal RNA is filed under the name Verrucomicrobiota bacterium. RNAcentral's name for it is "Verrucomicrobia bacterium partial 16S ribosomal RNA". It matches the Rfam family "Bacterial small subunit ribosomal RNA", at positions 355 to 776 of the family's 1533-position model. Lineage: Bacteria; Pseudomonadati; Verrucomicrobiota. The record is from RNAcentral.